GAGAGAGAGAAGAGAGAUAGUGAACCCGCCGGCGCAAGGAAGAAGAAGAAGAAACUUA
Molecule: small RNA, 58 nt
Filed under: Arabidopsis thaliana (thale cress)
Lineage: Eukaryota; Viridiplantae; Streptophyta; Magnoliopsida; Brassicales; Brassicaceae
Description: ATSL145120
Source: RNAcentral